GGGAAUAUUGGACAAUGGGCGCAAGCCUGAUCCAGCCAUGCCGCGUGAGUGAUGAAGGCCUUAGGGUUGUAAAGCUCUUUUACCCGGGAAGAUAGUGACGGUACCGGGAGAAUAAGCCCCGGCUAACUCCGUGCCAGCAGCCGCGGUAAUGCGAAGGGGGCUAGCGUUGUUCGGAUUUACUGGGCGUAAAGGGCGCGUAGGCGGGCGAAUCAGUCAGGGGUGAAAUCCCAAGGCUCAACCUUGGAACUGCCUUUGAUACUGUUUGUCUUGAGUUCGAGAGAGGUAAGUGGAACUGCGAGUGUAGAGGUGAAAUUCGUAGAUAUUCGCAAGAACACCAGUGGCGAAGGCGGCUUACUGGCUCGAUACUGACGCUGAGGCGCGAAAGCGUGGGGAGCAAACA
This 400-nucleotide ribosomal RNA is filed under the name uncultured bacterium. RNAcentral describes it as "bacterial SSU rRNA". It matches the Rfam family "Bacterial small subunit ribosomal RNA", at positions 357 to 774 of the family's 1533-position model. The record is from RNAcentral.